CCUCUGAUUUUUCAUUUGAGUAACUACAAAAACAACCAAAAGGAAACAUCCAUUGUUAAGGAAAACUACUGAAGCAUUUUGAGAAGUCAGAAAAUGUAAAAAGCACUUGCAAGUCACAGCAAUGUUUUGUUGCCAGAAAUGUAUAGGACAAGAGGAAUAGAAUAAAACAAAAUACGAACAUAAUUUUGUAUGAUUGGACCUAAAUCACAACAGUGAAGUAUGUUAAAACUAAACAAUGUACAAAUAUUAACCACAAAGAGGUCUAAUUGCUGGCACAGGAGACUUGAAAUUGUUAAUUCCUUUUUCCUGGGAUGUGUAUGCACGUUAAUUAUAUAAGAAACUUACGUAGAGAGUAUGGUAACCCAGAUGAGUUCCACACAGUCCACCCAAAGAAGCCUCUCUUCAACGGGGAUAAGACCAUAA
RNAcentral lists this unclassified non-coding RNA (423 nucleotides) under Hevea brasiliensis (rubber tree). Lineage: Eukaryota; Viridiplantae; Streptophyta; Magnoliopsida; Malpighiales; Euphorbiaceae. The record is from RNAcentral.